CAGUUAAAAAGCUCGUAGUUGGAUUUCGGAGUGGGCCAGUUGGUCCGCCGCAAGGUGUGUUACUGACUGGUUUGCUCUUCUUCGCAAAGACUGCGUGUGCUCUUUGUUGGGUGUGCGUAGGAUUUACGACGUUUACUUUGAAAAAAUUAGAGUGUUCAAAGCAGGCUAUUGCUUGAAUACAUGAGCAUGGAAUAAUGGAAUAGGACUUUGGUCCCAUUUUGUUGGUUUCUAGGACCGAAGUAAUGAUUAAGAGGGACAAUUGGGGGCAUCCGUAUUUCGUUGUCAGAGGUGAAAUUCUUGGAUUUACGAAAGACGAACAACUGCGAAAGCACUUGCCAAGAGUGUUUUCAUUAAUCAAGAACGAAAGUUAGAGGAUCGAAGACGAUCAGAUACCGUCCUAGUUCUAACCAUAAACGAUGUCGACUAGGGAUCAGCGGGCGUUAUCGUACGACCCCGUUGGCACCUUACGGGAAACCAAAGUUUCUGGAUUCCGGGGGAAGUAUAGUCGCAAGGCCGAAACUUAAAGGAAUUGACGGAAGGGCACCACCAGGAGUGGAGCCUGUGGCUCAAUUUGACUCAACACGGGAAAACUUACCAGGUCCAGACAUAGUAAGGAUUGAC
This 621-nucleotide ribosomal RNA is filed under the name uncultured marine eukaryote. Its description in RNAcentral is "SSU rRNA". It matches the Rfam family "Eukaryotic small subunit ribosomal RNA", at positions 616 to 1244 of the family's 1831-position model. The record is from RNAcentral.